GGGGAAUAUUGGACAAUGGGGGCAACCCUGAUCCAGCCAUGCCGCGUGCAGGAAGAAGGCCUUCUGGGUUGUAAACUGCUUUUACCAGGGGCUAAAAGGCCCAUGCGUGGGAAAUUGAAAGUACCUGGUGAAUAAGCCACGGCUAACUACGUGCCAGCAGCCGCGGUAAUACGUAGGUGGCAAGCGUUGUCCGGAUUUAUUGGGUUUAAAGGGUGCGUAGGCGGUCUAUUAAGUCAGUGCUGAAAUAUCCCGGCUUAACCGGGAGGGUGGCAUUGAUACUGAUGGACUUGAGUGAAGUCGAGGUAGGCGGAAUUGACGGUGUAGCGGUGAAAUGCUUAGAUAUCGUCAAGAACACCGAUAGUGAAGACAGCUUACUAGACUUCAACUGACGCUGAGGCACGAAAGUGUGGGGAUCAAA
This 418-nucleotide ribosomal RNA is filed under the name uncultured bacterium. RNAcentral's name for it is "bacterial SSU rRNA". It matches the Rfam family "Bacterial small subunit ribosomal RNA", at positions 356 to 772 of the family's 1533-position model. The record is from RNAcentral.